GGACCUCCGUCCCUGUGCCUCUGGUGCUUGGAUGGAACCCCUUAAGCAGGUGAAACUUCUUAGAGGAACUGGCGUUCAAAUAGACGCACGAGAAAGAGCAAUAACAGGUCUGUGAUGCCCUAAGAUGUCCGGGGCCGCACGCGUGCUACAAUGACGAUUGUACUGAGCAUGAUUUACUGGUCCGCAAGGAUUGGUGAAACUGUUCAAUCAUCGUCGUGACUGGGAUUGGGGUUUGUAAUUAUCCCCCAUGAACCAGGAAUUCCUAGUAAGCACAAGUCAUAAGCUUGUGCUGACUACGUCCCUGCCCUUUGUACACACCGCCCGUCGCUACUACCGAUUGAAUGGUUUAGCAAGGACAUUGGAUCGAGUCUUUGCGGUUCACGCUGCUUUGGCUUGAGAAGAUGUCCGAACUUGAUCAUUUAGAGGAAGUAAAAGUCGUAACAAGGUUUCCGUAGGUGAACCUGCGGAAGGAUCAUUA
This 478-nucleotide ribosomal RNA is filed under the name Dactylogyrus marocanus. RNAcentral's name for it is "SSU rRNA". It matches the Rfam family "Eukaryotic small subunit ribosomal RNA", at positions 1365 to 1831 of the family's 1831-position model. Lineage: Eukaryota; Metazoa; Platyhelminthes; Monogenea; Dactylogyridea; Dactylogyridae. The record is from RNAcentral.